Molecule: non-coding RNA, 45 nt
Organism: Schistosoma mansoni
Lineage: Eukaryota; Metazoa; Platyhelminthes; Trematoda; Strigeidida; Schistosomatidae
Source: Rfam
AUCCAUCUGACGUGUCCCAAAUAAGACGAAACGUGCUUCCUGUAU